RNAcentral lists this ribosomal RNA (479 nucleotides) under uncultured bacterium. RNAcentral's name for it is "SSU rRNA". It matches the Rfam family "Bacterial small subunit ribosomal RNA", at positions 26 to 518 of the family's 1533-position model. The record is from RNAcentral.
AGGACGAACGCUGGCGGCGUGCUUAACACAUGCAAGUCGAGCGGUAAGGCCCUUUCGGGGGUACACGAGCGGCGAACGGGCGAGUAACACGUGGGUGACCUGCCCUUAGCUCUGGGAUAAGCCUGGGAAACUGGGUCUAAUACCGGAUAUGACCUCAUGACGCAUGUUGUGGGGUGGAAAGCCUUGUGCGGCUAGGGAUGGGCCCGCGGCCUAUCAGCUUGUUGGUGGGGUGAUGGCCUACCAAGGCGACGACGGGUAGCCGGCCUGAGAGGGCGACCGGCCACGACUGGGACUGAGACACGGCCCAGACUCCUACGGGAGGCAGCAGUGGGGAAUCUUGCGCAACGGGCGAAAGCCUGACGCAGCGACGCCGCGUGAGGGAUGACGGCCUUCGGGUUGUAAACCUCUUUCAGCCCUGACGAAGCGAAAGUGACGGUAGGGCGAGAAGAAGCACCGGCCAACUACGUGCCAGCAGCCGC